This 252-nucleotide ribosomal RNA is filed under the name uncultured Bacteroidales bacterium. Its description in RNAcentral is "partial 16S ribosomal RNA". It matches the Rfam family "Bacterial small subunit ribosomal RNA", at positions 524 to 776 of the family's 1533-position model. The record is from RNAcentral. Lineage: Bacteria; Pseudomonadati; Bacteroidota; Bacteroidia; Bacteroidales.
UACGGAGGAUCCGAGCGUUAUCCGGAUUUAUUGGGUUUAAAGGGAGCGUAGGCGGACUGUUAAGUCAGCGGUAAAAGCCCGGGGCUCAACCCCGGCGAGCCGUUGAAACUGGCGGGCUGGAGUUGGAGAGAAGUACGCGGAAUGCGCGGUGUAGCGGUGAAAUGCUUAGAUAUCGCGCAGAACCCCGAUUGCGAAGGCAGCGUGCCGUGCCGCCACUGACGCUGAGGCACGAAAGCGCGGGGAUCGAACAGG